AGCAGCCGCGGUAAUUCCAGCUCCAAUAGCGUAUAUUAAAGUUGUUGCAGUUAAAAAGCUCGUAGUUGAAUUUCGGGAUUAGUACGCUGGUCAUGCCUUUGGUAUGUACUGGUGUUACUGGUUCCUACCUUCUGAAGAACCGUUAUGUCAUUUAUUUGGUGUGGCGGGGAAUCAGGACUGUUACUUUGAAAAAAUUAGAGUGUUUAAAGCAGGCUCGCGCUUGAAUACAUUAGCAUGGAAUAAUGAAAUAGGACGUUUGACCCUAUUUUGUUGGUUUCUAGGAUCGACGUAAUGAUUAAUAGGGAUAGUUGGGGGCAUUAGUAUUCAAUUGUCAGAGGUGAAAUUCUUGGAUUUAUUGAAGACUAACUACUGCGAAAGCAUUUGCCAAGGAUGUUUUCAUUAAUCAAGAACGAAAGUUAGGGGAUCGAAGACGAUCAGAUACCGUCGUAGUCUUAACCAUAAACUAUGCCGACUAGGGAUCGGAUGAUGUUAUUUAAUGACUCAUUCGGCGCCUUACGGG
This 520-nucleotide ribosomal RNA is filed under the name uncultured Glomeromycotina. RNAcentral's name for it is "SSU rRNA". It matches the Rfam family "Eukaryotic small subunit ribosomal RNA", at positions 569 to 1094 of the family's 1831-position model. The record is from RNAcentral. Lineage: Eukaryota; Fungi; Glomeromycota.